This is a long non-coding RNA of Physeter macrocephalus (sperm whale), 7869 nucleotides long. RefSeq lists it as uncharacterized. The record is from RefSeq and is a predicted model, not a curated record. The transcript is spliced from 8 exons. Lineage: Eukaryota; Metazoa; Chordata; Mammalia; Artiodactyla; Physeteridae.
GCCUUGGGUGGAAGGGGUGGCUCCAAAUGCAGAGGAUACAAUAACCCUCUGCAUUUACCUUUAGUUGGAGAAUAAGUGCAAGUGAAGCUCUCAAGCACCCUUGGCUGUCGGAUCACAAGCUCCACUCCAGGCUCAGCGCACAGAAGAGGAAGAAUUGCUGCUCUGACGCCCAGGACCUCGUGGCCAAAUAGUCCCCGGAGGGCACCCUCUUGAAAGGAAAACUGCUGCGGUUGCUGCUGCUUUGAGAAGAUUUUUGGAAAAAUCAGCAGUUCUGAUGCCUUGACCCCUAAGGAGACUGGUGGCUCUGAGGGAGGGGAAGACGCCACACAGAACUCUGAGAACCUCCGCCAGGCUCGCGGGGCCGGGGCACCCAGAGCUGCGGCCCAGGGGGCAGGCAAGCCUGCACCCCGCCUCACAGCCCCUCCCUGCAGCAGUGCACACCCCAGAAGACAUUUCCCUGCCAUCCUGAGCUUCAGAACUUUCGAUCUCAGUCACUGGGGCACGGGGUGCAUUACUUCUGCAAUUUCUCAGAUCCCUAGAGCAAUCACACUGGAGAUUUAGUUGAGAUUUUAAAACAUGUUGGAUGCAGAGGUUAACUAUCAUAUAUAGAAUGAAUAAACAACAAGGUCCUACUGUAGAGCACAGGGAACUAUUAUAUUCAAUAACCUGUGAUAAACCAUAACAGAAAAGAAUAAGAAAAAGAAUGUAUAUAUAUGUAAAAAAAAAUGCUGGAUACAUUUAGAGGGAGAAUUGCCUUUCAAAGCGGUGAGUACGACGCCAGAAAAAAUUCUAAGUCUGGUGCACCCUUGACCGCUCAGUUUCUCAGACUCUAUUACUUGGAUUUGGUCUGAAAUCAGGUGAAUCCAAUUGAUAAGUAAUUUGCUUUCUUUGAAUUCUGAGGCAAAAAGCAUCAGACAUUCUACCUUCAUUUAUUCUGAAAUCCCCUCCAAGAGCAGAAGUGUCUUCUACGCAGCAAACUUCCAAACUACUUCCAAACGAGGCACGUGUGUUGUCGCCACGCCCCCCGCUCUCUUCCGAGGGAAACUUCAUCCACAUGGAGCACGCUGGCUUUGAGAGAUGGUGUAUGGUUAGUCUUUACAAUCAGGACCUUUGGAAUAAUGUUAACAGUCCCGAGAGCUUCGCUCAAUGUGGCUGAAAGAAGAGAUGGGUCUGGUGGGUCCUGAGGGGGACGGUGCCGUGUUUCCUGUCAAAGUGACCCAGGUAAAUGCCAGUCCGUGUGAGGACCAGUGACCUCACCCACGUGGCGUCUCUGUGGCUCAGCCCUGUGCAGGGAGCCUUGGACACUGAAGGCCAGGGGCACCUCCCCUCACUUUGGGGAUGUGACACUGAUCUCCAGUUGGAAGCGUCUUCCUGUUCCCGAGCUCGUGUGCCAUUUUCUCAGACAUUUAACAGGGGACGUGAGCCCUGCUGCAGGAAUGGGCGUUGUUUCUUUACAAAGCAGAAGCAGCGCAGAGAGGGAUUACACGCCAGCACCACACCCACCACUAGCAUCUUAAGCCUCCCUCACAUUUUCCACUUCCAAGUACCUGCUGUGUUGAGAUCAGCUAUAAUAAUGUCUUUAUUUUUAGCUUAAAUCAUUCUAGCCUGCAGUUGUCUCAACUGCGACAAAACAAAAUAAGAGCAGCUCGGGGCUGCCUGGGCCAGGGCGGACCUGACGUGCGUUGGCUUUUCCCAGCAUCCCACCGGUGAAUCCUCAUGGCCCGCCAUGAGGACGGAUGGCGACGCGUGCAACGUCCUUUUUCUUGUGCUUCAGGUACGGGGGAAGCAGAGGCAGAAGACGAGGUGUCAUUAGUUCAGGCCACAAGCCAAUUUACUGGUCGUGCUGGCUGUGGAAGGUCCUCCUUUCCGGCCUCUGCUCUUGCAUUACGAUGCAUCUCUUUCUUUCUUCCUUGGGCCUAUGCAUUUAUCCAAGGUUGGCUUCUCCUGUUCCUGUUCUGUGACUAUGUUUCAAAUGUUUAAUUUAGUUUCCUUAAAAUACACACACACACACACACACACACACACACGCACAGCCCUGUGAUUGAAGUGUUAUGUUACCGCGCUAUCUUUAGCUGCUGGUAUUCAUCGAGUCUGGAAAAAUACAAGCCGGUGCAGGCUUAAUACUCAGCCCGCAGAGAGCUGGCAUCCACUCAAAUGCUGAACAGGACACGGGGGUCUGGUGUGUUCCCCUCCAGCCCGAGCAGGGGGCCUUUGUAGGGCGUGCAGAUCGCAUCCACCCCGGCUCACUUUCCCCGGGCCCUGCUGCACACACACGAAGGGGAUGGCUUCGGCCAAAUGAAGCAGUGAUUUCUUUGCCAAAUUCAUCCACUGAUGACCCCACGGUCAGUGGGUAUGAUUUUCUUUUUAGGGGUUGAGAAAGGAGACUGUACUUUGAAAAUGGCUCUCCUUAGAAUUUGUAGCUAUAUUUCCACCUCGGAUGGGGAGGUGGCCCCAUGCCAGCGGGGUCCUUUUAUAUGGGAGUGGGGGAGAGUCUGCCCUGCAGAGCUGAUUAUUACAGUGUGCAGUUACGGGGAAAUGGGAGAGUUUCGGUCUCCUGCUCGGCCGGUCCCCUCCCUCCACGCCUUGCAGUACGUGGCCGCUCUGACGGGAAAUGGGCUUUGCACAUCGGAAGAAUCAAACCAGAUGCGAGCGUGGACCCGAGGAGUGGAGUCUGGCUGGACUGGGGUUGUUGUGAUCAACUUUUCCCAGAAGUCACGAGGAUUGGAGGCUGUGUUGCUUCUCCACCCUCUUAAUGGACGUGACAAUCUUGCUCUCUCCCUUUAGGCCGCUGCCGUUUCUCCAGUAAAUGCAGGAAAUUAAGCACCAGUGGGGCACUUCCUGCUGCCUGGAGAGAAAUAAACUUCACAAGCUAUUAAGGAAAAAGCAAGUCACAUUCGUAAUUCGUAAGAUACCAACAGUUACCCAGAAUCUGUUGCUGUUUAAAAAUCAGGGAGGAAAGAGCUCACGCCCAGUUUGUGACAUAAAACCCUCUGGCAUGGAUUCUCACCUGAAUUAACUUGGGGCAACGAUUUGUGGGUUGAAGUUGGGUAACUCAUGUCUGUUGAGUACCGUAGGUUUGCUUGUAGUUGCUCUCGGUCUGACUUGAUGUUAUUUUGCUUUCUUUCCUCAAAAAUGUAAAUUGGCCUGGUGCACUGUCACGCUGAGGCAGAUGCUGAUGUGAUGUGGUCUGAAGAUGUGUGAACACCAGCGUUUUCACCGUUUUUAUGGAAAUUAGUGCAGCAAAAUUUUUUUCUUGUUUUGGAAUCAGAAUAUGGAUUUUGUAUCAGGGAAACGUGCAAGGCUCUCAUCUUGUUCCUUUUUUGUCCUUCAGCCCCCACUAGCCUGACCCCCGCCCCCCGUUGGGGUAGGGGGGCAAUAUCAGACAUGAGCUGCUUCAGUCUGAAAUGCAGGCCAGUCGAGGGGACCUCAUUUGGAAACUGAUUUGUGAACUGGUAACGAGGGCAGGGCGGGGACCUCAGCGGCCGAGGUCGGGGGCUCAGCUUAGCGCUGUCCCCUGGCGAUUCCAUAGUGGGUUCAGGGCGCUCCUCCAUGGCCGCGCCCUUCUCCGCAGCCGCGAUGCCACCCGCUUUGCUUUUGCUCCAUCAUUUUAUGUUUUUACUCUUUUCUCCUUUUCUCAAGUUAGAAUCAGAAUCCACCUUCUUAUCCAUCACCAUGCUCCUCUAGAGCCUCUCUGAGAUGAAAAGUAUGUUUCCAAAAGUCAAGUUGCUUUCUGUCCUAAAGGAAACGUGAUGCUGCACUUCCUGGAUUAGGGUGACUUCCGUGCGUUGCAUGAAAUCUAUAGCUUCUCGCCUUAGAAGGUCCGUGUAUUUCUCCCAGCUUCUGAGGCAGUCAGGUGUGUUUUCCCUAAGUGGUCUUUGUACGGGCAGUUUCACCUUCCGUGAAGGCUUCUAACUCACCCCCUACUGGCAACUCAGAGGAGCAGAAGACGUCCUGCACCCGCCUGUGCCUGUGCUGAGUCCUGUGUGUUCUGGCUGAUAGAUGCGACCGAGCCCUUUGGAUGAGGUUUUUCAGUGGAGAUGAGAGGUAAAAAUGGAGCCAUAAUAUGGUGGUUGCAUAUAUUGCGUGUAUUUUCUAUUUCUGAACGUAGUUUCAUUCAGCUGUACUCCUUUGCCUUAUAAAGAUGUGUAGCAGUCAUAUAUAUGUAUUAUAUUGAAGAAUAAACUUGGACCUGUUUAUCCUUCGGUAGAUGAGCUGAUUUAUGCAAUGACGUGGACAUUGCAAAUGCCAUCCGAACGCUCUCCUUCGGACGAGGCUGACGUGUUACGUCCCGUGAUAUCAAGAACCCAAGCUACGCUUGCAGGGGCCCCCGGACCGUCCGCAGGGACCCUGGGGAAAACCGCCCCCCUUUGGAAAACAUAGUGUAUACGAUGAACCAACACAAGGCUCGGGGCUUUUCCCCUAAUUUUAACACAAAAAUAUUGACGGAGAGAGAUAUAUAUAUAUGAAGUGUCUAGUGCCAGAACACAGUGUGUGACAAAUUAUGAGGGCAAUUUAGCAGCAGCUCGCUCUUUCAAGUGACUUCAGGCAGAUCCUUCAGCCCCAGAAAGAUGUCUGCCUCAGAAGACCUGCCACUGAAAGACGAAACGGGACGAAACGACCCCCGGCGGGGGACACCGGGCCGCCUUCUGGGCCAGCAUCCGGGCUGGAACGCUGCUGUGACCGCCCAGCUCUGCGCCGUGUGUCUGAGGAUGACCUGGGGCCUCGCCGCCGAGUUUCCUGGUGUCCCCACUUUAUCCCAGCAGGGACGGGCUCCUCCACCCGCACCUGGCUGAGACGGACCUGCUGAGUUUCCUGCUGUCCCCACUUUAUCCCAGCAGGGACGGGCUCCUCCACCCGCACCUGGCUGAGACGGACCCGCUGAGUUUCCUGCUGUCUCCGUCGGAAGCAGGAGUGGGCCCUGUGUUCACACAAAGCCUCCCUUCCCUCUUGCUCGAGCCUCAGUCCUUCCUACCCAGCGUCCGGGCGAGGCCUUCUGACUUCCUCCCCAGAGGAGAGAACCUCGCAGGCCCUCUCUGAGGAUGUUGUGACGUAAGCACAACUGUACGUUUGCUCUCGGUCCCGGGUUCCUGGCACAGAGCUCCUAAAGCCCUCAGAAUUUCCUGCGCAGCCACACCUGAGCUAUAGCCCCUCAGGUGACCCUCAGAGGAUGAGGCCGGUGGUCAGUGACCCAACCACGUGAUCAGAGGGCUGGAACCUUCGACCCCACCCCUGCUGCACGUCCGGGGAGGGGAGAGAAGCCAGGGAUUGAGCUAGCCACCAAGGGCCCGUGAGUCGGUCCGUCACGCCUGUGUAUUCAAACCUCUAUGAAAAACCCUACAUGAAGGGGUCUGGAGGGUGACGCACCCCAGCUCCAUGGGGACAGAAGCUCGUGCGCUCUGGACCCUCCCAGACCUCGCCCUGUGCGCCUCUGCAUCAGGCUGUUCAUCUGUGCCCUUGACUAGAUCCUCCUAAUAGACUGCGAAUAGUAAGGAAGUCAUUCCCUGGGUUCCGUUAACCAGUUAUAAAUUCAAAUUAUCCAAGCUUAGGAGGGAGUCUGGGCAAGCCUUGGUGUGCGGUCAAGCGGGGCAGAAGUGCGUCCGGGUGGGGGGUCUGUGCGACCGGAAGCCGGGGGUCUGCGCUGACUCCAAGCAGUGAGUGUCUGGACUGUUCCUGUGAGAAAAGCCCGCCCGCUUGCCGUCAGAAGCGCCCCGAGCGGAGAAGCACCUUUCCUUCGGCCUCUGGCACCGGCACAGGGCAGGUCCCGGGGUCCAGCCCCACCUUCGCCAGGAAUAGGCUCCCGGCUGGGGCCUGGGGCUCGGGGACAAGAACUGGUCACUGCCCUUCCGGCCCCUCUCGUCGCCUUCUCCCGGGGUAAGGGGACGGGGCGGUGUCCCUCACCCUCUCCCCGGGGGGGACGCUAAACCCACGUCAUCCCUCCGCCGACCCCUCCCUGCUCGGAAAGGCGACCGCCACCCGCCGUGGGGCCCGGGCCCAUCAGGGGGAUGAGGGGCCCCGGAAGCCCCCCGUCGGUAACUUGCUUCUGCCGCCCCAACGCAGGCUUUCCCGAGAGCGUGUGAUCUGUGUCCCCGGACGUCGCCGUGCGCACAAAUAGGCUCUCGGGGAGGAUCCGCACCGGGGCUUAGGUGGCUCGUGGCCUCCCCUGCAGAGCUCGGUCCCCUCACAGCUCACGCGGCUGUUACUAGAGAAUUCUAAAAAAACCCGUACACAAGCUCGGGAGCCAGCGUGCCAGGCAGAGGCGUCCGGCUGCAGCUCCGGUCCACCGACACCUGCUGCCCUGCCGAGGGCGCUGCUUCCGGGCAGCCCUCCAGAUGAUGGCAGCAGGAACCGCCGAAGUUACGUAACCUGCUGGGUGAGCCGAUGAAGCUUCAGCUCGCUGGCCUCUCAGGUCUCGUGACAGUGUCUUGCACGGAAGGGUCACUCAAGGCAGAUGUGAAAAGCUUCGAAUCGCAAGAUCCAAGUUGCUGUUCAGUGACAUCAGAUGACAGCGUCCUUGAUAAAGACAACUCGUGGUAGAAAAGACCACGACUAGAGGAGGAUCUGUUUCCCAGACGGCUGGAUUGCAGAGCUGGCAAAUUGAUGCCGGUUUUUGGCAGGAGACCACAGCUCCUUGCCAGCAAUUACAAGAAGAAACCAAGAAGUACUUUCAACAGUUCCUGGAAGUCUCCCCAGCUAGACCACACAGCUCAUUUGGCCAUGAGGCACGUGGGAUCCUAGCUCCCUGACCAGGGAUGGGACCCACACCCCCUGUAUUGGAAGACGAAGUCUCAACCACUGGACCGCCAGGGAAGUCCCCUCCACCUCCCCCAUUACUGCAGCCCUCACUCUCAGCCUCUUCCAAGGGCAUCGGGACUUCAUGAAACACUCUUCAAGGCUCUUCACGCUUCCAAGGUCACUCUCCCCAGAGCCUUUCCAGGUUCUUCCCGCUCUGCCUGUUCCCAAAGCCUCCCCCAUCUUUUGGGUUUUCGUUACGGUGACGCUCCACAUGCUGACAGCACCAGUACAGUACACCUGCUUAUGAUUCUGAAGCUUUACACAUCCUCAUCUCUCUGUCUGAAAGGUUUUCCACUAGUCUCUCUACCUGAUAAGCACCCAAAUCCCACUGUGUCUCCCAAUCCAGGGCAAAGCCCUUAUGCCCUUGUCAUACCCUCUCUGUAUUUCUCAUAGCAGUUGUCACAUUACUUUCUCAUAAUUAAUAAAUUAUUAGUGUGAUUGAUUUGCAAAUAUUAAACCAACCAUGCAUUCCUCGGAUAAACCCAACUUGGUCAUAAUUUAUUAUACUUUUGUAUAUUCCUGGAAUCAGUUUGGUAAAACCUUAUUGAGAAUGUUUGCAUCUAUGUUCAUAAGAGAUAUUCUGUAGUUUUAUUGUAACGUCUUUUGGUUUCAUGGGAAUGCUGGUCUUACAGAAUAAACUGGGUAGUAUUUCCUUCUCCCAAUUUUCUGCAAGAAUUUAUGAGGAAUUGAUGUUAUUUCUUCCUUAAAUGUUUGGUAGAAUUCACCAAUGAAGCUAUCUUACCUGGAGUUUCUUUAUGGGAAGGUUUAUAACUUCACAUUUCAUUCAAUCUCUGUAAUAGAGAAAUAGUCAGAGUAUUUAUUUCUUCUUGAGUUAAUGUUGGUAGUUAGUGCCUUUCAAAGAACUUGUCUAUUUUCUAAGUUUAUUGGCAUAAUGUUGGUUAUAUUUCCAUAUAAUCCUUUUAACAUGUUUAGAAUCUGUGAGGAUUCCAUCUCUUUCAUUCCUGAUUUGUAUCUUGUCUCUUCCUUCCUGAUCAAUCCGACUUGAAGUUUAUCAAUUUUAUUGAUCUUCUCAAAGAACCAGCUUUUUUGCCCCAUCAGUCUUCUCUAUUAAUUUUC